RNAcentral lists this ribosomal RNA (435 nucleotides) under uncultured bacterium. RNAcentral describes it as "partial 16S ribosomal RNA". It matches the Rfam family "Bacterial small subunit ribosomal RNA", at positions 28 to 507 of the family's 1533-position model. The record is from RNAcentral.
GAUGAACGCUGGCGGUAUGCUUAACACAUGCAAGUCGAACGGACUCUUCGGAGUUAGUGGCGGACGGGUGAGUAACGCGUGAGAAUCUGGCUUUGGGUUCGGGACAACCACUGGAAACGGUUGCUAAUACCGGAUGUGCCGAGAGGUAAAAGAGAAAUUGCCUGAAGAUGAGCUCGCGUCUGAUUAGCUAGUUGGUGAGGUAAAGGCUCACCAAGGCAGCGAUCAGUAGCUGGUCUGAGAGGAUGACCAGCCACACUGGGACUGAGACACGGCCCAGACUACUACGGGAGGCAGAAGUGGGGAAUGAUCAGCAAUGGGCGAAAGACUGACGGAGCAAUACCGCGUGAGGGAAGAAGGCUCUUGGGAUGUAAAGCUCUUUACUUAGGGAAGAACAAAAUGACGGUACCUAAGGAAACAGCAACGGCUAACUCCGUG